GCAAUGCACUGAUGACCGCAUAGUUCAGCAGAUCCUCUGUGACGAACCUAAAGCAUUGUCUUUCGCUCCUAACUGAUGUAUUGC
Chanos chanos (milkfish) is the source of this 84-nucleotide small nucleolar RNA. RefSeq annotates it as small nucleolar RNA snR60/Z15/Z230/Z193/J17. The record is from RefSeq and is a predicted model, not a curated record. The transcript has a single exon. NCBI's taxonomy places the organism in Eukaryota, Metazoa, Chordata, Actinopteri, Gonorynchiformes, Chanidae.